Molecule: ribosomal RNA, 485 nt
Filed under: uncultured bacterium
Lineage: Bacteria
Description: bacterial SSU rRNA
Rfam family: Bacterial small subunit ribosomal RNA
Source: RNAcentral
AAUUGAACGCUGGCGGCAGGCCUAACACAUGCAAGUCGAGCGGUAAAGAGAAGCUUGCUUCUCUUGAGAGCGGCGGACGGGUGAGUAAUACCUAGGAAUCUGCCUGAUAGGGGGGGAUAACGUUCGGAAACGGACGCUAAUACCGCAUACGUCCUACGGGAGAAAGCAGGGGACCUUCGGGCCUUGCGCUAUCAAAUGAGCCUAGGUCGGAUUAGCUAGUUGGUGAGGUAAUGGCUCACCAAGGCUACAAUCCGUAACUGGUCUGAGAGGAUGAUCAGUCACACUGGAACUGAAACACGGUCCAAACUCCUACGGGAGGCAGCAGUGGGGAAUAUUGGACAAUGGGCGAAAGCCUGAUCCAGCCAUGCCGCGUGUGUGAAGAAGGUCUUCGGAUUGUAAAGCACUUUAAGUUGGGAGGAAGGGCAGUUACCUAAUACGUGAUUGUCUUGACGUUACCGACAGAAUAAGCACCGGCUAACUCUGUG